CGGGGCUGGGAAGGAACUGGGUGCAGAGGAACCGGAUCCCGCCGUGAGGGGCGUCUCCAUCUCUGCUGACACUGCCCAGGGCCUCUCUUUGGAAGGGCGUCUGUCCCCAGGGAUGUCGGGUCUGAGACAGGUGACACAGCCAUCGCAUCCCCCUCCCCCAUUGGGGGGCUUAUCUUGUGGGCUGACUGCUAUGUGGGUUUCAUUCACAGGACCCAGCAGCUGGGGGACCCGCAGGGACCGAGGGCCCAGGGACGCAGCCCCCACAGGCCCUGUCUGUGCAGCAGCUCCAGAGGAAGCUGAAGGAGGCGGCCCGGGUGGUCCUCCGCCUGCGGCGGGAGAAAGAGCAGCUGCUGGAGCUGGGGAACAGGCUCCGUGCCCAGCUGGGCCAGCCUGCAGGGAAACCGUGUCACCCCUGCCCCAGCCCCGAGGCCCAGAAGCGCCCAGGCCCAGGCCCACCUCUGGGGCAGCUGCAGCCGCGCGUCACAGCCCAGGACGCUAGGAGCGUGCAGCAGGAGGCUUCCUCCGAAUUCUCGGGGGAGAGCCAGGCCCGGGGGGCGCCCGUCCGCAGACACGGUGCCCGGCAAGGCUGCGCGGGAGCCACGGGGAGGCCAGGGCAGAAGCAGCACAGACUCCCCACAGCGGCCUGCACGCCGGCUCGUCAGAAGGAGAACCGGUCCCCAAGGCCACAGGCCCAGGGAGCC
Myotis davidii is the source of this 701-nucleotide long non-coding RNA. RefSeq lists it as uncharacterized. Lineage: Eukaryota; Metazoa; Chordata; Mammalia; Chiroptera; Vespertilionidae. The record is from RefSeq and is a predicted model, not a curated record. The transcript has 4 exons.